Molecule: ribosomal RNA, 546 nt
Filed under: uncultured fungus
Lineage: Eukaryota; Fungi
Description: eukaryotic LSU rRNA
Rfam family: 5.8S ribosomal RNA (bases 204-363)
Source: RNAcentral
UCCGUAGGUGAACCUGCGGAAGGAUCAUUACAGUAGUCAUCCGGGUUGCCGCAAGGCCUCCCGGGUAACCUACCACCCUUUGUUUAUUACACUUUGUUGCUUUGGCAGGCCUGCCCUCGGGCUGCUGGCUCCGGCCGGCGAGCGCCUGCCAGAGGACCUAAACUCUGUUUGUCUAUAAUGUCUGAGUACUAUAUAAUAGUUAAAACUUUCAACAACGGAUCUCUUGGUUCUGGCAUCGAUGAAGAACGCAGCGAAAUGCGAUAAGUAAUGUGAAUUGCAGAAUUCAGUGAAUCAUCGAAUCUUUGAACGCACAUUGCGCCCCCUGCUGAUUAUCCGGGGGGCAGUGCCUGCUUUCGAGCGUCAUUAUAACCCUCAAGCCUAGCUUGGUGUUGGGGCAUGCCUCCGGGCAGCUCUUAAAAUCAGUGGCAGUGCCUUCCGGCUCUAAGCGUAGUAAUUCUUCUCGCUAUGGUGCCCGGAGGUCCGCUCGCCAGAACCCUAAUUUCUAUGGUUGACCUCGGAUCAGGUAGGGAUACCCGCUGAACUUAA